Molecule: ribosomal RNA, 408 nt
Filed under: uncultured delta proteobacterium
Lineage: Bacteria; Deltaproteobacteria
Description: bacterial SSU rRNA
Rfam family: Bacterial small subunit ribosomal RNA
Source: RNAcentral
UGGGGAAUUUUGCGCAAUGGGGGAAACCCUGACGCAGCAACGCCGCGUGAGUGAUGAAGGCUUUCGGGUCGUAAAGCUCUGUCAAGUGGGAAGAAAUUAUUAAAUGCCAAUACCAUUUAAUAUUGACGGUACCAUUGAAGGAAGCACCGGCUAACUCCGUGCCAGCAGCCGCGGUAAUACGGGGGGUGCAAGCGUUAUUCGGAAUUAUUGGGCGUAAAGAGCGCGUAGGCGGUCUUUCAAGUCAGAUGUGAAAGCCCGGGGCUUAACCCCGGAAGUGCAUUUGAAACUGGAAGACUUGAGUAUGGGAGAGGGAAGUGGAAUUCCUGGUGUAGAGGUGAAAUUCGUAGAUAUCAGGAGGAACACCGGUGGCGAAGGCGACUUCCUGGACCAAUACUGACCUGAGGCGCG